CCCAUACCUGAGUUUUUAGCUCACUUCUUCCACAUAUCUAGGUACUAGUCCAUUUGACAAAAAACUCUACAUACAAAAUUGAACAGCCUAAUCUUCUAUGCACUAGGUCUUGUUGAACGGAGGGUUUUAAUUUCAUCUUCCUCUUAACCCGUAGAAAGUUAGGAAUUAGCUCAUUCAAUAUUUCACGCAUUGGAGGGUCUCGCCAGUCAAAUAAGGUACAUCUACCCAAAUCUUGAUACCGUGGGUAAGUAAGAAAUUUCUUUCUCGAGUUCAAGUUCGUCUAUGAGGUCUUCGUCUACACAGGUAAUCAUAUCUAAAGACAUUCAUCUCCAUUUUCCUGCUGAAUUUUGACAUUUACUAGAAGAGAGAGACAGAUAAUAGUCCAGGAAACGGAAGGAAAUAAACAACGAUUUUGUAUAGGAAAGGGAAAAGUAGGAAGUGACAAAAAUGUUGAUGUUUUAAUUGGUUAAAAAUUCUAUAUUUUUAAUCUUCUAUGUCAACUAGCAAAUGAGCUGACGGUUUUUGUCAUUUUAUCCUUCUGGUGUGAUUAUUUUGAAGGCAUGGGAUUGUAAGUGGUACAAAUUGAAGGUCAAGGUAAAGCUCACGAAAAAAAAAAAAAAAAAGGUUGGAGAAUGUUGUUGCAAUUAUUCCUUUAAAGUAUGUAUAAAAAUUGAAAGAGAUCUAUGAUACUGAAUGUUAUAGGAGUACAUUGUUUAUGCUCUUGUCAAAGUAGAGUCAAUGGUACGUUUUUUUAUUGACUUGAUACAUAGAAAGCUCAUGUGGGGUGACCCGACCUGUAAGACAAUAAAGUGGGUUGAAGGGAAUGGUUUGAAUUUGGA
RNAcentral lists this long non-coding RNA (839 nucleotides) under Olea europaea subsp. europaea. Lineage: Eukaryota; Viridiplantae; Streptophyta; Magnoliopsida; Lamiales; Oleaceae. The record is from RNAcentral.